GGAGGGGCCAUAGCUCAGUGGUAGAACGUCUGCCUUGCAUACAGAAAGUCCCAGGUUCAGUCCCCAGCAUCUCCA
Molecule: transfer RNA, 75 nt
Filed under: Podarcis lilfordi (Lilford's wall lizard)
Lineage: Eukaryota; Metazoa; Chordata; Lepidosauria; Squamata; Lacertidae
Description: tRNA.Ala
Source: RNAcentral